This 292-nucleotide ribosomal RNA is filed under the name uncultured bacterium. RNAcentral describes it as "partial 16S ribosomal RNA". It matches the Rfam family "Bacterial small subunit ribosomal RNA", at positions 505 to 796 of the family's 1533-position model. The record is from RNAcentral.
GUGUCAGCAGCCGCGGUAAUACGUAGGGUGCGAGCGUUAAUCGGAAUUACUGGGCGUAAAGUGUGCGCAGGCGGCCGAGCAAGUCGAGUGUGAAAGCCCCGAGCUUAACUUGGGAACUGCGCUCGAAACUACUUGGCUAGAGUGUGGCAGAGGGAGGUGGAAUUCCACGUGUAGCGGUGAAAUGCGUAGAGAUGUGGAGGAACACCGAUGGCGAAGGCAGCCUCCUGGGCCAACACUGACGCUCAUGCACGAAAGCGUGGGGAGCAAACAGGAUUAGAUACCCUGGUAGUCC